UACGUGGGGGGCAAGCGUUGUUCGGAAUUACUGGGCGUAAAGGGCUCGUAGGUGGCCAACUAAGUCAGACGUGAAAUCCCUCGGCUUAACCGGGGAACUGCGUCUGAUACUGGAUGGCUUGAGUUCGGGAGAGGGAUGCGGAAUUCCAGGUGUAGCGGUGAAAUGCGUAGAUAUUGGGAAGAACACCGGUGGCGAAGGCGGCUAUCUGGACCGAUAUUGACGCUGAGGCGCGAAAGCGUGGGGAGCAAACAGG
Molecule: ribosomal RNA, 253 nt
Filed under: uncultured bacterium
Lineage: Bacteria
Description: partial 16S ribosomal RNA
Rfam family: Bacterial small subunit ribosomal RNA
Source: RNAcentral